CGGUAAUACCGACUCCAAGAGUGUGUAUGAGAGAUGCUGCAGUUAAAAAGUCCGUAGUCAUAGAAGGGCAAAGAGAGAUGCGAGGUCUCACAGUGCGAUGAUGGAGGAGCCGAUGGGGAACAUAGUAUACCAGGGCGAGAGAUGAAAUGCCAAGACCCCUGGUGGACUGAGCGAGGCGAAGGCGAUGUUCUUGUAGGCAUUCGGUGAUCAAGGACGAAGGCUGGAGUAUCGAAAGUGAUUAGAUACCGCAGUAGUUCCAGCAGUAAAAGAUGCCGACAUGCUCAUUGGACACAGUGGGCAGGGAGAAAUCUUAGAGUUCGGGCUCUGGGGAUAGUAUGCUCGCAAGGGUGAAAAUUAAAGAAAUUGACGGAGCUACACCACAAGGAGUGGAUUGUGCGGCUUAAUUUGACUCAACGCGAGGAAACUUACCAGGGCCAAGUAUUGUGUAGAAACGAGCAAUACAGGAGUGGUGCAUGGUCGUUGGAAAUUGAUGGGAUGACUUUGACCUUAAAUGGUUGAAUGAGUGAGAUCUUUUGGACAUGUUCCGCACGGAACAGGAAGGAAAAGGCUAUAACAGAUCCGAGAUGCCCUCAGAUGCCCUGGGCUGCACGCGCAAUACAAUAGCAGGUAGAGAUAGAGACAGGAAGGUGCUCAGAUGGACUAUGUGCUGUAAGGCACAUACGAAAGAGGAAUUCCUAGUAAGUGUGU
RNAcentral lists this ribosomal RNA (708 nucleotides) under Vittaforma corneae. RNAcentral describes it as "SSU rRNA". It matches the Rfam family "Microsporidia small subunit ribosomal RNA", at positions 403 to 1149 of the family's 1311-position model. The record is from RNAcentral. Lineage: Eukaryota; Fungi; Microsporidia; Nosematidae.